RNAcentral lists this transfer RNA (76 nucleotides) under Marine Group III euryarchaeote CG-Bathy2. RNAcentral describes it as "tRNA-Gly". It matches the Rfam family "tRNA". From Rfam's summary of the family: Transfer RNA (tRNA) molecules are approximately 80 nucleotides in length. The record is from RNAcentral. Lineage: Archaea; Methanobacteriati; Thermoplasmatota; Thermoplasmata; Candidatus Thermoprofundales.
GCGGGCGUAGUGUAGUCUGGUAUCACCGGGGCUUCCCAAGCCCCUAACCCGGGUUCAAAUCCCGGCGCCCGCACCA